This 32-nucleotide non-coding RNA is filed under the name Homo sapiens (human). The record is from RNAcentral. Lineage: Eukaryota; Metazoa; Chordata; Mammalia; Primates; Hominidae.
UGGCAGCUGUGCUGGAUGCCCGCUAUGAGGUA